Molecule: ribosomal RNA, 482 nt
Filed under: uncultured bacterium
Lineage: Bacteria
Description: partial 16S ribosomal RNA
Rfam family: Bacterial small subunit ribosomal RNA
Source: RNAcentral
GACGAACGCUGGAGGCGUGCUUAACACAUGCAAGUCGAACGAUGAAAUGGAGCUUGCUCCAUGGAUUAGUGGCGAACGGGUGAGUAACACGUGAAUAACCUGCCCUUAAUUUUGGAAUAACCCAGGGAAACCUGGGCUAAUACCGGAUAAGUAAACCUGUGGCAUCACAUGGUUUUGGAAAGUUUUUCGAUUAAGGAUGGAUUCGCGGCCUAUCAGCUUGUUGGUGAGGUAAUGGCUCACCAAGGCGACGACGGGUAGCCGGCCUGAGAGGGUGAACGGCCACACUGGGACUGAGACACGGCCCAGACUCCUACGGGAGGCAGCAGUGGGGAAUAUUGCUCAAUGGACGAAAGUCUGACGCAGCGACGCCUCGUGAGGGACGAAGGUCUUCGGAUUGUAAACCUCUUUCAGCUGGGACGAAGCGAAAGUGACGGUACCUGCAGAAGAAGCACCGGCUAACUAUGUGCCAGCAGCCGCAGUAA